AACGGCAACACCAGCAAACUCAACGUUGGGGCCCACACAACUGCUGCUUCUGGAAUUAAAGGUGGGACAGGCACAGUCUUUAAUCGCAUUUUAAAAACACUGGGCCAUGAAGAGAUUUACCUGCAACGAUGAGAAACGUUUUUUUAUUACUUGGAAUUCUGGGAGCCAAUCUAAAUAGGUUCUGGCUUAUACGACAGUGUUAAGGAGAGGGUAAGGGGAGCAACAUUUUGGAUGAGCUGGAGUUUGUCCGGACAAGGGUAAACAGUCAUUCCUCACCACGUAAAGGCUCCAUCAGCGCUUGAUUGAGGGCAACGUCGGGCGAUGCUACAGAAUUGGAACUAGGAGGUCGUUGUGAAUGGGGCGGAUAUGUGGUUCGAGCUUGAAACAGACGCAGAGACAGUUGCGGGGAGGGGGUUUCCAGCCGAUCCCAAAACUGUGGUCAAGGACGUCUGGAGUUUGCAGUAGGAUUUGAAGACAUCAGUGUUACCAACUUAUUGCAACAGAAAGAAACUGUAGCUUAUCCAGGAAUGGAUUUUGGAAACAGGAGUAGACAAGAAAACUCGUCGAGUAUAAUUGGAAAGAGGUAGAGUACAAUAUCGUCAACAUACUUGAGUAAACUGACCCCACCUCCUGCAGAUACCACUCACAGGUGUCAGUACAGAUGAGGACUUGGAGAGGGCAAUGGAUGGAUCAUUGGGGGUAUCUGAAAGUAAUGGUAUGGGAGUAAGAAGAGAACCUUGUUGCUGUGGAGCUUCUGGCUAAACUGGAUAGGUUUCCUUUUGAGGUGGUUCGAUCCCGAGAAUGGACGACUUUAUUUGAUCUCAUUAAGGCUGUAGGAAAAAUGCAUUUGGCAAAAUGUUAAGCGAGUGAGGGGCAGACCAAUAACCAGGGUCUCUGCUCAUGGGUGGCCCGUGCGCCCUGCUGGGAAGUUUAUAUGUUGGUGAUCAAGGCGAAAAUAAUGGUAUUUCGGUGAGGAACAGCUGUACACCAUGAGGAAGGCAAGGCUGCGGCAAGAACGUAGCCAAUUGGAUACGAAAAAGAAGUCCAGAAAGGAAUGAAAGAAAGGAUGCGAGGGAAAUAGCCAAAUGACGGGCAAGUGGCAACAGCCAAAGAGACUGGAGGGAAGAGGCACUGAAAUGUGCAUCCAAGUAUUAUUACUUGUCAACAACGUCACAGGAAACAUUUCAGAAUGACACCGCCUCAUGGUUACAUCACUAUAGUGGCUUAAAUAAAUUUCACUUCAAAUCUUAAGCUUUUAAGAAAAAAUUAGUUAACACCAAGAGUUAGCAUGCCAGAUUUUCCAUCAACAGACCUGGCA
Rhincodon typus (whale shark) is the source of this 1318-nucleotide long non-coding RNA. RefSeq lists it as uncharacterized. The transcript is spliced from 3 exons. Lineage: Eukaryota; Metazoa; Chordata; Chondrichthyes; Orectolobiformes; Rhincodontidae. The record is from RefSeq and is a predicted model, not a curated record.